ACAUGCAAGUCGAGCGAAUGGAUUAAGAGCUUGCUCUUAUGAAGUUAGCGGCGGACGGGUGAGUAACACGUGGGUAACCUGCCCAUAAGACUGGGAUAACUCCGGGAAACCGGGGCUAAUACCGGAUAACAUUUUGAACCGCAUGGUUCGAAAUUGAAAGGCGGCUUCGGCUGUCACUUAUGGAUGGACCCGCGUCGCAUUAGCUAGUUGGUGAGGUAACGGCUCACCAAGGCAACGAUGCGUAGCCGACCUGAGAGGGUGAUCGGCCACACUGGGACUGAGACACGGCCCAGACUCCUACGGGAGGCAGCAGUAGGGAAUCUUCCGCAAUGGACGAAAGUCUGACGGAGCAACGCCGCGUGAGUGAUGAAGGCUUUCGGGUCGUAAAACUCUGUUGUUAGGGAAGAACAAGUGCUAGUUGAAUAAGCUGGCACCUUGACGGUACCUAACCAGAAAGCCACGGCUAACUACGUGCCA
This 477-nucleotide ribosomal RNA is filed under the name uncultured bacterium. RNAcentral describes it as "bacterial SSU rRNA". It matches the Rfam family "Bacterial small subunit ribosomal RNA", at positions 53 to 510 of the family's 1533-position model. The record is from RNAcentral.